Molecule: ribosomal RNA, 421 nt
Filed under: uncultured eukaryote
Lineage: Eukaryota
Description: bacterial SSU rRNA
Rfam family: Eukaryotic small subunit ribosomal RNA
Source: RNAcentral
CAAUAGCGUAUAUUAAAGUUGUUGCGGUUAAAAGCUCGUAGUUGGAUUUCUGCCUGAGGCAGCCGGUCCGCACUUAGUGCGUGUAUCUGGUUUGGUUUGGGCAUCCUCUUGGGGAUCGUUGCUGUGCUUAGUUGCAUGGUGCGGAAUUCAAGACGUUUACUUUGAGGAAAUUAGAGUGGUUACGGCAAGCUAUCGCUUUGAAUACAUUAGCAUGGAAUAAUAAUAUAGGACUUUGGCCCUAUUUUGUUGGUUUCUAGGACUAAAGUAAUGAUUAACAGGGAUAUUUGGGGGCAUUUGUAUUAACCGGUCAGAGGUGGAAUUCUUGGAUUCGGUUACGACAAACUAAUGCGAAAGCAUUUGCCAAGGAUGUUUUCAUUGAUCAAGAACGAAAGUGUGGGGAUCGAAGAUGAUCAGAUACCAU